ACGGAUUGAAAAGCAUUAAAAAAAUUAAAGGAAAUCGAUCGUAAUUGGAAGUAAGCAUUAUUAGUUUCUCGGACCUCUAAGCCCAGAUAAGAUAAACUGUCGAUGAAAUAACAACCUCAGAGACGUUAGUGAUUCUAUCCCACCACCGUCAGCUAACUCAAGACCAAGCGUCAGGGUACCCAUGGGUGUAUUUAUACACUCCACCGACGGACCCCCUGCUGGCGGCCUUCAUUGGGGACCACCCCCGCGACCGGUGCCUCACGCGCCGCCGCCGCCACCGCCCCCACAGGACGACACGUGCUGCAACUGUGGUGGACCUUACGGCGGAUGCUGCGGCUGUGGACCAAGCGGAUGCUGCGGACCUCCAGGACCGGAAACCAGAUGCAUCUGGAUCUGCGCGAUUCUAUAAAGACAAUUUAGUUUGCUAACAAAAACAUAGUGCCGAAAUUCUACUAGGAAGUUUUGUGCUUGUGGCUCUAGUAAAACGUUCUGUCUUUUUCGGAUCCAAGGUCUUUGAUGCGUACUGCUAGGAAAGUCAUAUAAUAGGAUUAGAUAAAUCAAUCAACGACAACGCAUUGCUGCUGAUUAGAUAAAAACAAUGCCAAUCAAACCUAUUUAUAAAAAUGUGAUUUAACUUUUGACGGUUGGAGUUCGGUAAUCGAUUUUGUAAAUUAUCCGCAGCAACAACUGUUAAGCAAAAACUCAAAAUGUCGUCACAUCAACACGCCCACGUUGAAAUGCACCACCACCAGGAACGCAGGGUGGAACACCACCAUCAAGAAGUCCAUUCGCAUCCCCCGCAGCACCACGAUCCACCACAUCAUCACCCUCCGCCGCCCCAUCAUCACCAAGGACCGCCUCCAGACGACAACGGCUGUUGCUGCCUCUGCACGAUCCUGUAGACCGUCGAAGUGGUUCAAUUUUUGAUAUUUUAAAGCGGCCGUAUAAUGAUAAAUCGACACAUUAUUGGAAAAAUAAAAAAAAUGAAAAUUGAAAUUUAUAGCGUCCCUUUUUCUGCGCAGAAAAUUUGUGUUUCGUUUGGGUAAACAAUUGCGAUUCUGGGUAAAGGAUCGACGUACACAUUUGCACGACGAUGACUCAGUCGGUUCGUGAAAAUUUUGUCAACAUCGAUAACCAGAGAUGACUAGAUGAUAUCUCCCCGCGGCGGUCUGAUAAAAAUGUAUCGCAACUGUCGUACCGCCAUACGUUUGGUGAUAAGUGUGUAAAUUGUACAUCGGUACCAAGAAAAAUCGAACGCGAAUGGCGAUCUACAACGAAGGACGCCUAUCAAAUGGUCUGCACCAUGGACCUCACGGGGGAGGACCUCAUCACCACGGUGGAGGUCAUUUCGGCCCUUCGCACCACGGUCCAGGUCAUUUUGGCCCUUCUCACCACGGUCCAAGUCAUUUUGGCCCUCCCCAUCACCACCACAGCGGUCCCCCGCCUUUUCUACCGCCACCCCAUAUCCAUGGGCAUCGACGAAGAUCUGUAAUAUGUUGCACCAUUUUGUAAGGUUUCGGAUGUUGGCUUACGUGUUUUGUUGAUUUUUUAUGGCUGUGUCAUACAUUUUGGAAGAGAAUAGAUUAUUAAAUAAAAAGCUAAACUAUUUCUUUUUCUUUUAUGCGCUUUUAACAUUCAUUCUAGCAUUUUCUAAGUGAACCCACGCUGUACAACUUUUGUCAUUAUUUAACCUCGGCAUUAUACAAUCGAACAACUAAAUUUUGAUAAAGCUAACAAUUUUAAAGGACAUAUUGUUAAUUAUAUCAAAUCAGGGAAUAGGUUGGCAUUUAAUUUUCAAAACUAUCGAAGGUAUGAUCAUCUCUCGGCGAUCAGUACGAACUAGUGCUGCUCUUCUGAUUGACCAUCAAUAAGCCUCCAGAUCGCCAGAAUCUAGAUAUGGUCGAAGUUACUUCCCAAAGUCUUCCUAAAGUGUCUGUUGGACAGAUACGCUUUGUCCUUGAUUAAUUGGAUUGAAUUUAGAUGUACACAUUAAGGACAAUCGUUGCAAACACGAAAUUGCUAAUGAUUUUGAUAAUAUCGGCGCAGGGAGAUAAGAUAAGAUUCUAGGAUUUUCAUUCCACACCAACUUUACACCCGCUACAAUAUUUUUGUCCCCAGUCAAUAAUACACGGAUUCAAAGCAAGUCUCUUAGUUAACAAGGCAAUUUCGCGGGAACUCUAUCGUAGGCGUAAAGAAUGGCAGCUUUUGACAUUGCACCCCCCGUUUUACAUCACGGACCACACGGCGGGGGACCACAUCACGGACCUCCACACCACGGACCUCCGCACCACGGACCACCGCACCAUCACGGAGGACCGCCCAGGGGGGUGGUGUGCUGCACUAUCCUUUAAAACCCGAGAUUUAAUUUUAUGUAGGACCUUAUCCGCUAUUAAAAAAAUGUACUUUUAUAAAAUUUUUGCCCCGUUACUAAUAUAAAGUAACGGUCGGGUAGGAAUAAGUUUCUUUGGAUUAACUGGGAAUUACCGCAUUUUUUUUUAUGAAGGGUAUAAUGAAUAAAACAACCUAUCAGAAUAAUUUAUU
This is a long non-coding RNA of Cylas formicarius (sweet potato weevil), 2541 nucleotides long. RefSeq lists it as uncharacterized. Lineage: Eukaryota; Metazoa; Arthropoda; Insecta; Coleoptera; Brentidae. The transcript is spliced from 5 exons. The record is from RefSeq and is a predicted model, not a curated record.